Molecule: long non-coding RNA, 218 nt
Filed under: Solanum tuberosum (potato)
Lineage: Eukaryota; Viridiplantae; Streptophyta; Magnoliopsida; Solanales; Solanaceae
Description: long non-coding RNA (STUB_LNC007959)
Source: RNAcentral
UGGUAGAUCUUUGAUGAGAACUAGAACCAGAUCCUGAAGGAGGAUUAGGUCUUGAGUAUGAACUAGCCUGAUCUAGGUACAUGGCUCUUAUUAUUGCUGAAGAAUGCCAUGGCAUCAUUCACCAAACCAUGAUUAUCAGCACUUACAACAUUGGAUUUACCAAGUAUCCUCUGGCUUUCCUCAGCCAUAACCAGAGAGUAAGCCUUGUUCACACAAGG